RNAcentral lists this ribosomal RNA (212 nucleotides) under uncultured Gardnerella sp. Its description in RNAcentral is "partial 16S ribosomal RNA". It matches the Rfam family "Bacterial small subunit ribosomal RNA", at positions 144 to 354 of the family's 1533-position model. The record is from RNAcentral. Lineage: Bacteria; Bacillati; Actinomycetota; Actinomycetes; Bifidobacteriales; Bifidobacteriaceae.
UAGCUCUUGGAAACGGGUGGUAAUGCUGGAUGCUCCAACUUGACGCAUGUCUUGUUGGGAAAGUGUUUAGUGGCAUGGGAUGGGGUCGCGUCCUAUCAGCUUGUAGGCGGGGUAAUGGCCCACCUAGGCUUCGACGGGUAGCCGGCCUGAGANGGGCGGACGGCCACAGUUGGGACUGAGAUACGCCCAGACUCCUACGGGAGGCAGCAGAG